GACGAACGCUGGCGGCGUGCCUAAUACAUGCAAGUAGAACGCUGAAGAGAGGAGCUUGCUCUUCUUGGAUGAGUUGCGAACGGGUGAGUAACGCGUAGGUAACCUGCCUGGUAGCGGGGGAUAACUAUUGGAAACGAUAGCUAAUACCGCAUAAAAUUGAUUAUUGCAUGAUAAUUAAUUGAAAGAUGCAAUUGCAUCACUACCAGAUGGACCUGCGUUGUAUUAGCUAGUUGGUGAGGUAACGGCUCACCAAGGCGACGAUACAUAGCCGACCUGAGAGGGUGAUCGGCCACACUGGGACUGAGACGCGGCCCAGACUCCUACGGGAGGCAGCAGUAGGGAAUCUUCGGCAAUGGGGGGAACCCUGACCGAGCAACGCCGCGUGAGUGAAGAAGGUUUUCGGAUCGUAAAGCUCUGUUGUAAGAGAAGAACGGGUGUGAGAGUGGAAAGUUCACACUGUGACGGUCUACCAAAAGAC
Molecule: ribosomal RNA, 478 nt
Filed under: Streptococcus sanguinis
Lineage: Bacteria; Bacillati; Bacillota; Bacilli; Lactobacillales; Streptococcaceae
Description: bacterial SSU rRNA
Rfam family: Bacterial small subunit ribosomal RNA
Source: RNAcentral